This 3197-nucleotide long non-coding RNA is filed under the name Oryza sativa (Asian cultivated rice). Its description in RNAcentral is "long non-coding RNA (OSAT_LNC001657)". The record is from RNAcentral. Lineage: Eukaryota; Viridiplantae; Streptophyta; Magnoliopsida; Poales; Poaceae.
GGCGAAGGCCCGGCCCAUAGCGUGCGGCAGCGGCCGCAUCGAGCUGCCGCGGCGGGGACGGGGAGUCGGCGUCGAGCGGCGGCGGCCGCAACGGGCGUCCGAGGCGGGGACGGGAACAUGCGGCGGCGGCGGCCUGCGUUUCACACAUCGAUCAUCCCUUCUGGAUCUUCGGCUGCUUUUCCCGUUAUUAAUCAAGCUAAUGGUUGUACUGUUGGAGUGUUGGUCGAUCGGAAAGGGGAGCCGCUUCACCGGGCGAGGCGGCGAUAGCUCCGCAGCGGCGGUGGCUGCGACGGCGUUUGCUUCGAAUCGGCGACCCUCGCUUGCUCCGCCGGUAGCUCCCCGCGUCUCCUACAGACGUAGCCUGAGGAGGGGAUUCCAGGCUGGGGGCUGAGGAAGCACCAGGGCUGGCGGUGGAGACGACGGACAUGGAGCGAUGGCCGGUGGGCAGCUGCUUGACUGACGACAACCGAAGGGGUAGGCUAGGUAUGCCUUCUACCAUCCUUCCAUUGCACUAGUUACUCAUCUCUUUGUGUAGCACAUCCAUCUUCAUCCUGUUUGUUUUCCUUGUUAUUAUUGCCACAUGGUUUCCCAUUUCAAUACUGUUUUGUGAUGAUAACUUGAAUUUCGUGAUAGAAUGGAAAUCGCAUAACAGAACAACAAAUAUUUAAUUCCACAAACUUUGCAGAAAAACUAGAGAAAACCAGAAGACACAACAUCGUUUUAUGAUUGUUUGGAACUUAUUACAACUUAGGUGUAUACUGCCAAUUCAGGACACCUUCUUAUUCCAAGGUUGAGCUAGUAAAUUAGAAAAAACAAAUGACAAAGGAAGUCAACAUAUGCAUGCCAACUGCCCAAAAGCGAUCCCAUUAUUAUCCAAAUCAUCAAACCUUCUCCAAGCAUAUGCAACAGUAACUUAUCAAUCAUUUCAUCUCACCUUCCCGAAGGAUAUCUUAAUUCUGUGGUCCCACUUGAGUUGCCCUCAAUGCUUUCUAUUGAAACUCCAGAAAUCAGCAGCUGGAAUUGCCUCGCUAUGUCAGCGUCCAUGGCUUCCUUCUGUUUAUAGGACCUAGACACCAGUUGCAUUUCACCUGUACCUGCCGGUAGGCAUUCUUUGAGCUUGAUAACAAUGUCAGUCAUGCUUGGCCUAUCAGUGGAUGUGUUUUCCACACAGCUCAUGGCAAGAUCUAUGACACUCUGUAUGGAAGUGGCAUCAUACUGAUGCCUUAGUCUACUGUCUACAGCAUCAUGAAUGCUCCCUUCAGCAAUCUUUUGGCGCACCCAGUUUGGUAGGUGCACUGGUUCUGAGUCCACUAACACUGAAGGUUGGCCAGUAAUGAUCUCCAAGAGGACAAUGCCGAAGCUGUAGACAUCUGCUUUCACAGUGAGGUGGAAAGUAGCAUGGUACCUGAGAAUGAGAUGUAAGAACAGCACAAAAUACGCUUCUCUUUAAUCUGCAUUUCUCGCUUGACUCGAACUAGAGAAGAAGUGUAUUGAACUAAUAUCGGUCAGUGAAGGAUAACUCACUCAGGGUCAAGGUAGCCAACAGUACCGGCAGCAACAGUUGAUAUGUGUGUGUGCGCUGGAGUGUAAGAUCGUGAAAGACCAAAGUCAGAUAUCAUGGCCACAAGAUUCUUAUCCAGGAGAAUGUUUGCAGUUUUCACAUCUCUGUGAACUAUUGGCGGGGUGCAUGAUUCAUGCAGAUACUCCAGUCCUGCAGCUCAUCAAGGUUCAUAUGUUUGUCAACAUCUACUCUGUUUAGUUUUUAAAAGAGGUACAAGAUUGAAGUGGACCUUGUGCUGCAUCAAGUGCAAUGUGAAGUCGCUCUUCCCAGCUCAAACUGUAUUCUUGUCCUGUUUCAAAGUGCAACAAAUUGACACUCAUUAGUAAUAUUGGGCAUGUUACAUGUAUGGGCAAUAUACAUGGUUGUUAAGGCAUCACUAUGGUGUCGCUGUUGCGUCGCCAUAGGUUGCAGAGAUCAAGGCGUUUACUCCUUGCGUAUAAGUACUAUCUUUAGAAUUUUGAGUCAUGUAGGGUGAGCAACAUUAAAUUUAUUGUAAUUAAUGCAAACCUCCUCUUAAAACUUCUUGUAGGUUUCCUCUAGCCAUGAAAUCGUACACAAGGGCAAGGCAUUUCUUGUUGUGGCAAUAUCCUAAAAACGUGACGAGAUUCUUGUGUUGAACUUUUGACAAUAUUUGCACCUGAAAUAGCAGCAGAUGUCAUACAAACAGGCUUUCAUUGGAAGCAAUAAAAAUAGUGGACAUCCAAAAGAUGUGUGGAACUAUGACUUCUAGAUAUCACAGGCAUCUAGCAUCUUGAUUUUUAUUCAAGACUGCACAUAACAUCUUUACAUUCUAGAGGGAAAUGAUCCGACUUAAGUAGUUUGAUAGUUCACCUCAGGGAGGAAGUCCUUUGAUAGUGUUAUAGAUGUCUCCCGAAGCACCUUGACUGCCACUUCCUCUCCAUUGUCCAAUAUGCCAUGAUAAACCAUACCAAAUCCUCCUUUUCCAAUGAUAGACUGGAAGUUGUUAGUUAUAGUCUUCAACUCUGUAUAUGUGAAUCUUCUGGUGUCAGUAUGCAGGGGAGUAUCCUCUUCAUACAUAUCAUAAUCAUCAUGUUCUUUUGAUUUUCCUGCUAAGUCACAAUUCACAAAUGGCUCAAUCCACUUUGCUCUACUGUAUAGUGUAUACACGAAAAUAUCUGAAUUUAACCCACUGUUUUGUUCACCUUUACAGCAGAGCAUCCAUAGAAUUAACAUAAGUAUGAUAGCUACAACAGGAACUAUCACUGCAAUGAGCAAUGUUGCUGUAUUCUUCCUCGCCUUAUCUGCUGGUGUGGUACAGUCGCUUUCAAUUAUAUUUGAGCACAUGGGAUUGAAAAAAAAAACAUGAAGAGCAUAAAGGAAUAAGGAGAUGAUAUAUUUGUUUACACUGCAAUCUUAUAUGUUUACUAUAAAUAAGAUGGAGACAGUAAAUUACAAAGCUGCGAAGUAAUUUUUGAUAUGUUAAUGCUGCCUUUAACUUAAUACGAAUUCAUUCUUCUAGUUUGCAUAAAGCUCAUGAGUUAUAUUGUGGACUAAUGCUGAGAUGCUGCUACACAGAUCCUAUGAACCUGCUGCAUACAUGAUGAAUGUGUAGUGUGCUCUUGCAAUAUAUUGCUGAUCAUACCAUCAUCAGAAGCAGUAGCUAUCCGGACAAGUG